RNAcentral lists this ribosomal RNA (293 nucleotides) under Aspergillus sp. BAB-1583. Its description in RNAcentral is "partial 28S ribosomal RNA". The stretch from base 1 to 258 matches the Rfam family "Eukaryotic large subunit ribosomal RNA", at positions 388 to 664 of the family's 3401-position model. Lineage: Eukaryota; Fungi; Ascomycota; Eurotiomycetes; Eurotiales; Aspergillaceae. The record is from RNAcentral.
UUAAACAGCACGUGAAAUUGUUGAAAGGGAAGCGCUUGCGACCAGACUCGCCCGCGGGGUUCAGCCGGCAUUCGUGCCGGUGUACUUCCCCGUGGGCGGGCCAGCGUCGGUUUGGGCGGCCGGUCAAAGGCCCCUGGAAUGUAGUGCCCUCCGGGGCACCUUAUAGCCAGGGGUGCAAUGCGGCCAGCCUGGACCGAGGAACGCGCUUCGGCACGGACGCUGGCAUAAUGGUCGUAAACGACCCGUCUUGAAACACGGACCAAGACUGGGAAACACUUGACACACAGACCAAG